Hypanus sabinus (Atlantic stingray) is the source of this 215-nucleotide long non-coding RNA. RefSeq lists it as uncharacterized. Lineage: Eukaryota; Metazoa; Chordata; Chondrichthyes; Myliobatiformes; Dasyatidae. The transcript is spliced from 2 exons. The record is from RefSeq and is a predicted model, not a curated record.
UUCAUUGCAUGUAAAAUAUAUCGGCAUGCGAUGACGUCACAUCCGGUUUCGCCGCGUCUUGUGGGAAAAUACCGGUUUGAAAUUAGCGCGAGGGUGGGGGCUUACCACGAGGCUCACCUGAGCAGAAGUUGUUUGCAGGCAUGAGAAAUCACAGUGAGAGCAACGCUUUUUCACCAUAUGUUAAUGUGAAGAGUGAACAGUAAAUGGUUAAUCUU